UGGGGAAUAUUGCACAAUGGGCGCAAGCCUGAUGCAGCCAUGCCGCGUGUAUGAAGAAGGCCUUCGGGUUGUAAAGUACUUUCAGCGGGGAGGAAGGGAGUAAAGUUAAUACCUUUGCUCAUUGACGUUACCCGCAGAAGAAGCACCGGCUAACUCCGUGCCAGCAGCCGCGGUAAUACGGAGGGUGCAAGCGUUAAUCGGAAUUACUGGGCGUAAAGUGCACGCAGGCGGUUUGUUAAGACAGAUGUGAAAUCCCCGGGCUCAACCUGGGAACUGCAUCUGAUACUGGCAAGCUUGAGUCUCGUAGAGGGGGGUAGAAUUCCAGGUGUAGCGAUGAAAUGCGUAGAGAUCUGGAGGAAUACCGGUGGCGAAGGCGGCCCCCUGGACGAAGACUGACGCUCAGGUGCGAAAGCGUGGGGAGCAAACAGG
Molecule: ribosomal RNA, 429 nt
Filed under: Chloroflexota bacterium
Lineage: Bacteria; Bacillati; Chloroflexota
Description: Chloroflexi bacterium partial 16S ribosomal RNA
Rfam family: Bacterial small subunit ribosomal RNA
Source: RNAcentral